Molecule: long non-coding RNA, 543 nt
Organism: Acomys russatus (golden spiny mouse)
Lineage: Eukaryota; Metazoa; Chordata; Mammalia; Rodentia; Muridae
Exons: 3
Source: RefSeq, a predicted model, not a curated record
UUGCCGCCGAAUUGCCGCUGAAUUGCCGGUUCGCUGUUUUUCAGAUCUGCUGGAAUCCUGCAGACUAAGCCAAUGGAAUUGCUCCCAGGAACUGAGUCUAUGAAUGUCUACUUCUCCGGCCCCCAUUAACCUCUUUCCUCUCCUAUUUAAGGAGUAUGAUCCUUGGUGGACAGCCCGAAGCCAUUCACAUAGAUUUGCUUCAGAGCUAUCAGUGAAAAGAAGCUUGGAUGCCACAGCAGGAAAUGCAUUCCUGGUCUUCAAAUGUGCUAAAAUGUGUCAACAAAAGAGGAUGAAGCUUUCUCCGCAGAAAAGUUGAAAAGAUGGCUACCAGAACGAAGUACCAAGAAUGGCAUACUAGCUGUUUGCCUGCAACCACUGGCUCCAGUGAGUUUCCUAAGCAUGCAGACCUAUUCACUAAUGUCUACUCUAAUCUGAAGUCCACAGUAAAUAAGAGAAAACAUCUAGUUCUCUAAAUCCCUAGUUCUUUGCAAAACUCCAGAGCACAGUCUCCAACAGACUGGUACUAAUCCCUAAAGCAAUGCC